This 380-nucleotide ribosomal RNA is filed under the name uncultured eukaryote. RNAcentral describes it as "partial 18S ribosomal RNA". It matches the Rfam family "Eukaryotic small subunit ribosomal RNA", at positions 592 to 976 of the family's 1831-position model. The record is from RNAcentral.
CAAUAGCGUAUAUUAAAGUUGUUGCGGUUAAAAAGCUCGUAGUUGGAUUUCUGCUGAGAACGACCGGUCCGCCCAUUGGGUGUGUAUCUGGCUCUUUCUUGGCAUCUUCUUGGUGAACGUUACUGCACUUGACUGUGUGGAGCGCUACCCAGGACUUUUACUUUGAGGAAAUUAGAGUGUUUCAAGCAGGCAUACGCCUUGAAUACGUUAGCAUGGAAUAAUAAGAUAGGACCUCGGUUCUAUUUUGUUGGUUUCUAGAGCUGAGGUAAUGAUUAAUAGGGAUAGUUGGGGGCAUUCGUAUUUAACUGUCAGGGGUGAAAUUCUUGGAUUUGUUAAAGACGGACUACUGCGAAAGCAUUUGCCAAGGAUGUUUUCAUUGA